AUUGAACGCUGGCGGCAGGCUUAACACAUGCAAGUCGAACGGUAACAUAAAGAAGCUUGCUUCUUUGAUGACGAGUGGCGGACGGGUGAGUAAUGCUUGGGAAUCUAGCUUAUGGAGGGGGAUAACUACGGGAAACUGUAGCUAAUACCGCGUAAUAUCGAAAGAUUAAAGUGUGGGACCUUCGGGCCAUAUGCCAUAGGAUGAGCCCAAGUGGGAUUAGGUAGUUGGUGAGGUAAAGGCUCACCAAGCCGACGAUCUCUAGCUGGUCUGAGAGGAUGACCAGCCACACUGGGACUGAGACACGGCCCAGACUCCUACGGGAGGCAGCAGUGGGGAAUAUUGCGCAAUGGGGGCAACCCUGACGCAGCCAUGCCGCGUGAAUGAAGAAGGCCUUCGGGUUGUAAAGUUCUUUCGGUAGCGAGGAAGGCACUUAGUUUAAUAAACUAGGUGAUUGACGUUAACUACAGAAGAAGCACCGGCUAACUCCGUG
Molecule: ribosomal RNA, 490 nt
Filed under: uncultured bacterium
Lineage: Bacteria
Description: partial 16S ribosomal RNA
Rfam family: Bacterial small subunit ribosomal RNA
Source: RNAcentral